This 612-nucleotide ribosomal RNA is filed under the name Salmonella enterica. RNAcentral describes it as "partial 23S ribosomal RNA". It matches the Rfam family "Bacterial large subunit ribosomal RNA", at positions 881 to 1495 of the family's 2925-position model. Lineage: Bacteria; Pseudomonadati; Pseudomonadota; Gammaproteobacteria; Enterobacterales; Enterobacteriaceae. The record is from RNAcentral.
CUCGUGAAUUCAUCUCCGGGGGUAGAGCACUGUUUCGGCUAGGGGGCCAUCCCGGCUUACCAACCCGAUGCAAACUGCGAAUACCGGAGAAUGUUAUCACGGGAGACACACGGCGGGUGCUAACGUCCGUCGUGAAGAGGGAAACAACCCAGACCGCCAGCUAAGGUCCCAAAGUCAUGGUUAAGUGGGAAACGAUGUGGGAAGGCCCAGACAGCCAGGAUGUUGGCUUAGAAGCAGCCAUCAUUUAAAGAAAGCGUAAUAGCUCACUGGUCGAGUCGGCCUGCGCGGAAGAUGUAACGGGGCUAAACCAUGCACCGAAGCUGCGGCAGCGACACUGUGUGUUGUUGGGUAGGGGAGCGUUCUGUAAGCCUGUGAAGGUGUGUCGUGAGGCAUGCUGGAGGUAUCAGAAGUGCGAAUGCUGACAUAAGUAACGAUAAAGCGGGUGAAAAGCCCGCUCGCCGGAAGACCAAGGGUUCCUGUCCAACGUUAAUCGGGGCAGGGUGAGUCGACCCCUAAGGCGAGGCCGAAAGGCGUAGUCGAUGGGAAACGGGUUAAUAUUCCCGUACUUGGUGUUACUGCGAAGGGGGGACGGAGAAGGCUAUGUUGGCCGGG